UUAAACUUACUCCUUCAUAGAAAUGCGCGUUUAAUUUGCUACACUAGAGUUGAAUAGAUCAGUGAUUAAUUCAGAGAAAGAUUAUGUUUGUGCAGCGAUAACUAAAAUUAAAUCUUUUAGGUGUACAUAUAAAAGAACAUUGGUUUUGAGAGCACAGCAAACUGAGUGUUAAUAGAUAACAAUGCAUAAACUAAUGCUAUUCUCCGUAGUCUGUUUCUGUCUUGCUACGAUGUGUCACGCCAUGACAGACAAUGCAGAUACAAGAAGCGACGAAGUUUUGAGUCGUGAAAAAAGAUCGCGGUUUCGCUAUACAUUAAGAUGUAGAAACUGCUGUAGACAAUAUGGACAACUUUGUGGGAUAUGUCCAUGCAGGGCCAGCAAUCGUUUUCCCUUCGAAUACUCGCCACUAUUUCAAUCUUGAUGGAUCCGUUGUUUCGAGAAUAUGUCUUGCAUGACUCUUUGUUUAUAUAUUAAAAGUUUCAAUCCAUUGUUAGUCAAACUAAUUAAAAAGCUAUAUUGUUAUA
Molecule: long non-coding RNA, 524 nt
Organism: Mytilus californianus (California mussel)
Lineage: Eukaryota; Metazoa; Mollusca; Bivalvia; Mytilida; Mytilidae
Exons: 4
Source: RefSeq, a predicted model, not a curated record